UGUUUAGCAAAAACACAGGUCUCUGCAAAACCGUAAGGUGACGUAUAGGGGCUGACGCCUGCCCGGUGCUGGAAGGUUAAGAGGAGUGCUUAGCUUCGGCGAAGGUACGAAUUGAAGCCCCAGUAAACGGCGGCCGUAACUAUAACGGUCCUAAGGUAGCGAAAUUCCUUGUCGGGUAAGUUCCGACCUGCACGAAUGGCGUAAUGAUGGCCAGGCUGUCUCCACCCGAGACUCAGUGAAAUUGAACUCGCUGUGAAGAUGCAGUGUACCCGCGGCAAGACGGAAAGACCCCGUGAACCUUUACUAUAGCUUGACACUGAACAUUGAGCCUUGAUGUGUAGGAUAGGUGGGAGGCUUUGAAGUGUGGACGCCAGUCUGCAUGGAGCCGACCUUGAAAUACCACCCUUUAAUGUUUGAUGUUCUAACGUUGACCCGUAAUCCGGGUUGCGGACAGUGUCUGGUGGGUAGUUUGACUGGGGCGGUCUCCUCCUAAAGAGUAACGGAGGAGCACGAAGGUUGGCUAAUCCUGGUCGGACAUCAGGAGGUUAGUGCAAUGGCAUAAGCCAGCUUGACUGCGAGCGUGACGGCGCGAGCAGGUGCGAAAGCAGGUCAUAGUGAUCCGGUGGUUCUGAAUGGAAGGGCCAUCGCUCAACGGAUAAAAGGUACUCCGGGGAUAACAGGCUGAUACCGCCCAAGAGUUCAUAUCGACGGCGGUGUUUGGCACCUCGAUGUCGGCUCAUCACAUCCUGGGGCUGAAGUAGGUCCCAAGGGUAUGGCUGUUCGCCAUUUAAAGUGGUACGCGAGCUGGGUUUAGAACGUCGUGAGACAGUUCGGUCCCUAUCUGCCGUGGGCGCUGGAGAACUGAGGGGGGCUGCUCCUAGUACGAGAGGACCGGAGUGGACGCAUCACUGGUGUUCGGGUUGUCAUGCCAAUGGCACUGCCCGGUAGCUAAAUGCGGAAGAGAUAAGUGCUGAAAGCAUCUAAGCACGAAACUUGCCCCGAGAUGAGUUCUCCCUGACCCUUUAAGGGUCCUGAAGGAACGUUGAAGACGACGACGUUGAUAGGCCGG
Molecule: ribosomal RNA, 1069 nt
Filed under: Listeria monocytogenes
Lineage: Bacteria; Bacillati; Bacillota; Bacilli; Caryophanales; Listeriaceae
Description: partial 23S ribosomal RNA
Rfam family: Bacterial large subunit ribosomal RNA
Source: RNAcentral